This 261-nucleotide ribosomal RNA is filed under the name uncultured bacterium. Its description in RNAcentral is "partial 16S ribosomal RNA". It matches the Rfam family "Bacterial small subunit ribosomal RNA", at positions 524 to 781 of the family's 1533-position model. The record is from RNAcentral.
UACAGAGGGUGCGAGCGUUAAUCGGAAUUACUGGGCGUAAAGCGUGCGUAGACGGUAGCGUAAGUCAGAUGUGAAAGCCCCCGGGCUCAACCUGGGAAUUGCAUUUGAGACUGCUCUGCUCGGGUGCGGAAGAGGGAAGCGGAAUUUCCGGUGUAGCGGUGAAAUGCGUAGAUAUCGGAAGGAACACCAGAGGCGAAGGCGGCUACCCUGGACAAUUGCUGACGCUCAGGCACGAAAGCGUGGGGAGCAAAAGGGAGUUAG